Molecule: ribosomal RNA, 253 nt
Filed under: uncultured bacterium
Lineage: Bacteria
Description: partial 16S ribosomal RNA
Rfam family: Bacterial small subunit ribosomal RNA
Source: RNAcentral
UACGGAGGGGGCCAGCGUUGUUCGGAAUCAUUGGGCGUAAAGGGCGCGUAGGCGGCCAAUCAAGUCCGACGUGAAAUUCCUCGGCUCAACCGGGGGCCUGCGUCGGAUACUGCUUGGCUUGAGUCCCGGAGAGGGUAGUGGAAUUCCCAGUGUAGCGGUGAAAUGCGUAGAUACUGGGAGGAACACCGGUGGCGAAGGCGGCUACCUGGACGGGUACUGACGCUGAGGCGCGAAAGCUAGGGGAGCAAACAGG